This 451-nucleotide ribosomal RNA is filed under the name uncultured bacterium. RNAcentral's name for it is "bacterial SSU rRNA". It matches the Rfam family "Bacterial small subunit ribosomal RNA", at positions 340 to 783 of the family's 1533-position model. The record is from RNAcentral.
UACGGGAGGCAGCAGUGGGGAAUAUUGCACAAUGGGCGCAAGCCUGAUGCAGCCAUGCCGCGUGUAUGAAGAAGGCCUUCGGGUUGUAAAGUACUUUCAGUCGUGAGGAAGGUGUUAAGGUUAAUAACCUUAGCAAUUGACGUUAGCGACAGAAGAAGCACCGGCUAACUCCGUGCCAGCAGCCGCGGUAAUACGGAGGGUGCGAGCGUUAAUCGGAAUUACUGGGCGUAAAGGGCACGCAGGCGGUUAAUUAAGUUGGAUGUGAAAUCCCCGGGCUUAACCUGGGAAUGGCAUUCAAGACUGGUUAGCUAGAGUCUUGUAGAGGGGGUAGAAUUCCAUGUGUAGCGGUGAAAUGCGUAGAGAUGUGGAGGAAUACCGGUGGCGAAGGCGGCCCCUGGACAAAGACUGACGCUCAUGUGCGAAAGCGUGGGGAGCGAAACAGGGAUUAGAU